AAGCGCAAAACGGGAAUUUAAACAAAACGAAGAAGGGCAACAAGAAGGCACGUGAAGUGGCCGGGUUAGUCUUUCUCUUCUUCUCUCUUGUUUUUUCGCUCUAUUUUUUUUUUUUUU
Molecule: non-coding RNA, 117 nt
Filed under: Pseudopedinella elastica
Lineage: Eukaryota; Dictyochophyceae; Pedinellales
Source: RNAcentral